RNAcentral lists this ribosomal RNA (396 nucleotides) under uncultured bacterium. RNAcentral describes it as "partial 16S ribosomal RNA". It matches the Rfam family "Bacterial small subunit ribosomal RNA", at positions 523 to 918 of the family's 1533-position model. The record is from RNAcentral.
AUACGUAGGGAGCGAGCGUUGUCCGGAAUUACUGGGUGUAAAGGGCGUGCAGCCGGGACGGCAAGUCAGAUGUGAAAUCCAUGGGCUUAACCCAUGAACUGCAUUUGAAACUGUCGUUCUUGAGUACCGGAGGGGCAAUCGGAAUUCCUAGUGUAGCGGUGAAAUGCGUAGAUAUUAGGAGGAACACCAGUGGCGAAGGCGGAUUGCUGGACGGCAACUGACGGUGAGGCGCGAAAGUGUGGGGAGCAAACAGGAUUAGAUACCCUGGUAGUCCACGCUGUAAACGAUGAAUACUAGGUGUGGGGGGACUGACCCCCUCCGUGCCGCAGUUAACACAAUAAGUAUUCCACCUGGGGAGUACGAUCGCAAGAUUGAAACUCAAAUGAAUUGGCGGGG